RNAcentral lists this ribosomal RNA (1429 nucleotides) under metagenome. RNAcentral describes it as "bacterial SSU rRNA". It matches the Rfam family "Archaeal small subunit ribosomal RNA". The record is from RNAcentral.
GUUGAUCCCGCUGGAGGUUACUGCUAUUAGGAUCCGAAUAAGACAUGCAAGUCAGAGUAGCAAUACUCGGCGUAAGGCUCAGCAACACGUAGUUAAUCUGCCCUUAGAUAGAGGAUAACCUCGGGAAACUGAGGAUAAUACUCUAUAGGAAGAAAGAUCUGGAACGCCUUUCUUCUCAAAGCUUCGGCGUCUAAGGAUGAGACUGCGGCUGAUUAGGCUGUUGGUGGUGUAAUGGACCACCAAACCUAUGAUCAGUACGGGCCAUGAGAGUGGUAGCCCGGAGAGGGGGACUGAGACAAGGCCCCCAGCCCUACGGGGUGCAGCAGUUACGAGAACUUUACAAUGCACGAAAGUGUGAUAGGGGGAUCCUAAGUGAUAUAGGUUAUGCUUAUAUCUGUGGAGAAGUGUAAAUUACUUUUCAAGAAAGGGGUGGGCAAUACCGGUGCCAGCAGCCGCGGUAAUCCCGGAGCCCCGAGUGGUGACCAUGUUUAUUGGGCCUAAAGCGCCCGUAGCCGGAUUAAUAAGUUCUCGGUGAAAUUGUUUAGCUUAACUAAACGAAUUGCCUUGAAUACUGUUAGUCUAGGGAUUGGGAGAGGUCAAGAGUAUGCCUGGGGGAGGGGUAAAAUCCUUUAAUCCUGGGUAGACUACCAAUGGCGAAGGCACUUGACUAGAACAAGCCCGACGGUGAGGGACGAAAGUUAGGGUAGCAAACGGGAUUAGAUACCCCGGUAGUCCUAACUGUAAACGCUGCCCGUUGGGUGUUGCGAAUACUUCGAGUUUUCGCAGUGCCGUAGUGAAGACGAUAAACGGGCCGCCUGGGGAGUACGGUCGCAAGGCUGAAACUUAAAGGAAUUGGCGGGGGAGUACACAAGAGGGGGGACUUGCGGUUUAAUUGGAUUCAACGCCGGAAAUCUCACCAAGGGCGACAGCAGGAUGGAGGCCAGAUUAAAGGUCUUGCCUAACGCGCUGAGAGGAGGUGCAUGGCCGUCGGAAGUUCGUGUCGUGAGAUGUCCUGUUAAGUCAGGCAACGAACAAGACCUACGCUAUUAUUUGCCCAGCUGGCUUCGGCCUCGCUAGCACAAUAAUAGGACUGCAUUUGUUAAAAAUGAGGAAGGUGUAGGCCACGGUAGGUCAGUAUGCCCCGAAUCCCUUGGGCCACACGCGAGUCACAAUGGAUGGGACAAUAAGCUGCUACUCCGAAAGGAGACGCAAAUCUCUAAACCCAUUCUCAGUCCGGAUUGAGGGUUGUAACUCACCCUCAUGAAGAUGGACUCUCUAGUAACCGUGAUCCAUUCAUUCACGGUGAAUGCGUCCCUACUCCUUGCACACACCGCCUGGCAAGCCACUCGAAUCGGCUUCGGGUGAGGAUCAUUCUAACUGUUUGAUUCGAACCCGAGGUUGGUAAGAAGGGUUAAGUCAACACAAGGUA